RNAcentral lists this ribosomal RNA (253 nucleotides) under uncultured bacterium. RNAcentral's name for it is "partial 16S ribosomal RNA". It matches the Rfam family "Bacterial small subunit ribosomal RNA", at positions 524 to 776 of the family's 1533-position model. The record is from RNAcentral.
UACGUAGGUGACAAGCGUUGUCCGGAUUUACUGGGCGUAAAGAGCGCGCAGGCGGUUGUUCAAGUCGAGUGUGAAAGCCCCCGGCUCAACUGGGGAGGGUCAUUCGAUACUGAUCGACUCGAAGGCAGGAGAGGGAAGUGGAAUUCCCGGUGUAGUGGUGAAAUGCGUAGAUAUCGGGAGGAACACCAGUGGCGAAGGCGACUUCCUGGCCUGUUCUUGACGCUGAGGCGCGAAAGCUAGGGGAGCAAACGGG